GGCUCGGGACCUCGGGUCCCCGGCCGGUGGCUGCGUGGGAAGCGGCUCAACUCGGUGCACUUGUUCACUCUUUCUUCAUUGGAGGAGGAGCCAGUGUUGCAACCUUCAUGUUCCUUGCUGGAGGCAAAACAGUGAUUUUCUGCAGCAGGCGAAAUGUCCAGGGCCUGCCAGUUUUACGAGUUUUCAACAGAAAACAGGCCAGGAUGUCUGAGUGGGUGAGAGACUGCACAGAGAAGAGACAAGACUGCCACCUCCUCUGCAAACCUCACAGAAAUGACUCCACUGUCGUCAGGAUUUCCUGGAGGGCCACCUUUGCACAUAUGUUUGAGAAGGUGAGUGGACGUUUUUUGCAGUGUGGUAUGUGGAAAGCCAAAAGGGAAAGCUUUCAGCCCUGUAGUCGCAGGGAAUUUUCACCCUCUUAGAAGCACUGAGAACCCCUCAAAAAGCUUAUAUUUUGUAUGAAGAUAUUUGCCAUCUUAGACAUUAAAAAUAAAAAAAUAUUAAAAUGUGAUGCA
This 515-nucleotide long non-coding RNA is filed under the name Vulpes vulpes (red fox). RNAcentral's name for it is "lncRNA (ENSVVUG00000022067.1)". The record is from RNAcentral. Lineage: Eukaryota; Metazoa; Chordata; Mammalia; Carnivora; Canidae.